GCAUCGAUAGCUCAGAUGGUAGAGCACUUGCCCGCGAAAGGCAAAGGUCCCGAGUUCGAGUCUCGGUCGGUGCA
Molecule: non-coding RNA, 74 nt
Organism: Schistocerca cancellata (South American locust)
Lineage: Eukaryota; Metazoa; Arthropoda; Insecta; Orthoptera; Acrididae
Source: the annotation of a RefSeq genome assembly